GAUCUGCGGAGGGAAUCAGGUCUUCAUUCAUAUGUCAACCUCGAUCACGUUGUGGGAUUAGCGACACUUCCAACUAAAACAGCAGAAUAGCUUAAAAGAACCAGUUCAGGCUAAAAAAAACAUCCAGCCCUCCAUCCAUCCAUCCAUCCAUCCAUCAGGACUCCCAAGCAGCAUACGACACAAUGCAGGGAUAUGGCCCAGUAGGCCCUGGUGACACACCUGCCUCCCCUGCUUCCUGAAGAACUCUCCAGUGUUCUCAAUGACCUGCUCGUCCGACAGCAGACUGUAGGGCUGCUCCUUGCACAGGGUGAAGAUCUCCCAGAGCGUCACACCGAAAGCCCACACAUCACUUGCAGUGGUGAACUUCCCCUGUAGGGGGCGGCACCAUUUAAUGGCAUUUAAAAAAAAAAAUCAACUGCUUGCUUCCUCUGUUUCAUCUAUUUUGCUAAAUUAUUCCCAAAGACUCGAUAACACAAACAUAACGCUUAUACAAAUCAGUGUUAAAUUAUCUUGUUGGUAUAAAACUUUGAUUUUAUGUUUGUCAAUGUGUGUCAGUUUAACCAUUUCAGAGGCUCUCCUACAGUCUCCCCAGUAUUGGCAGCAGCCUCCCAAUACAUAUAUGUAUUUUUUGACUCGACCACAAGCAUACCAUGUUUUGCUAAUCAAUACCUUGUUGACUAAUUAAAUUAAUUAAGUGAGCCGGUGGUGAAAUUUAACAAAAACAAGGAAUGUCUGAGGUGCCCCUGAGGAGAGGUUUGGGAACUGAAGCGGUGUGUUUCAAGCCAUCUGCUUCAGUCAGACCUCAAAAAUAACUUUUGGGAAACCAGAAGAUAUUCUUAUGGUGUUACUCUUAAUUUGCAUCUAGCUCUAAUGAUAAAUAGUGUUUUUGUUCUGAGCAAAUAUACACUUACUACCCAGACAAACAGCUUUAAACAUUUCCUUUGGCUGCCUAAGACUUUUGCACAGUGCUGUAUAUGCAUAUACACACACAUAGUGUUGGGACAGCUGUGCGUUCCCAUUUUGCAAACUUUUGUCCCAGGAAAACAGGACCCCUCCCAUACAGACACGCACACAUGCCCACACGCACCAGCAGGAUGCUCUCCCAGGCCAUCCAGCGGAUGGGCAGCACGGCACGGCCCUGGAUGCGGUAGUAGUCACUGCUGUAGAGAUUGCGGCUCAUGCCGAAAUCGGCGAUCUUGAUGGUGAGGCGCCGGUCCAGCAGGCAGUUGCGUGUAGCCAGGUCCCGGUGCACGAAGUUCAGCGACGCCAGGUAACGCAUUCCCGAUGAGAUCUGGACCGACAUGUGCAGCAGAUCUGACAUGCUGGGGUGGGGGCAGGGGUACCAGACAGACACAACGAGACUCAGCAGCUCGCAACACAACACAAGAAAAACAAGAUUUCCUUUUGCUGGGAAUCGCUUCCUCAAUCACUUCCUGCCGCUUUCUCUUUCGCUUCCAAGUUUGUUUUUCUACUUUGCUAUGUUUGUUUUGCUUCUAUGAGCUCAAGAUGAAUAGAGAAUGACAGUCAGAUGAAAGAGUCCGCAGAAGCUGGGACUUGAACAGUGUCAACGGCUAAUGGGCUAACAGCCAAAAACACACAGGAAGUAAUAAGACUAUAAAGGGAAAAAAGCUGGUGGUAGCCAUUCAGCUACCGCAGGAAAGACAAGGAGUUAGAAGAAAGGAGGGUACUGAUUGGCUAACUGGCUGGCAGACAAAUGACAACAGGCUGAUGAUUGGAUGAGCAACACUGGGAAAUCUGGGUUCUGCCCAAUGAGAACUUUAGGUAGAGGGCUGCAGCUAUGCCAGCUCACCUCACAGACGGGAUGCUGUUGGCGUGAGUUAGCGUGCUCUCGAUCUCGCGCUGCGACAGGAACAUGUUGAGGUCACCGUUCUCCAUGUACUCAGUGACCAUGCAGAGUGGGUCCGAUCGCACGCACACGCACAGCAGCUGGAUGAUGUUUGGGUCGUUGAGGCGUGACAUGAUCUUUAUCUCCUUCAGGAAGUCAUUCCUGGGGACACAGAGAGCAGAGGUGGGAUGUUUGCACUUCCUGCUCACCUCCAUCCAGCAGAUCCGAGGCAGCAUGCAGGACGCCCACUUCAUUUUGGGGAAGGGAGUCUUUGGUCUCCCAUCCUUGAAAACUGUAGGUACUUUUUCACACAGAUCUUCAACAGAUCCUUGGAGCUGUGCGAUGCCCCCUCCUGCUUCAAGCACUCCACAAUCAUCCCGGUCCCAAAGAAACCCUCAAUCACAGGGUUAAACGACGACUGGC
Long non-coding RNA from Brienomyrus brachyistius, 2269 nucleotides. RefSeq lists it as uncharacterized. The record is from RefSeq and is a predicted model, not a curated record. Lineage: Eukaryota; Metazoa; Chordata; Actinopteri; Osteoglossiformes; Mormyridae. The transcript has 3 exons.